Molecule: RNA transcript, 4843 nt
Organism: Capsicum annuum
Lineage: Eukaryota; Viridiplantae; Streptophyta; Magnoliopsida; Solanales; Solanaceae
Gene name: probable LRR receptor-like serine/threonine-protein kinase At1g56130
Exons: 3
Source: RefSeq, a predicted model, not a curated record
AUAUUCUCUCCAGUAUAUUUUAUUCUCUCUAAUUUCUAACUACCCAAAAAAGAGAUCAUGAAACAUCCGUGUAGGGUUUAUUCUCAAUUUUAAUUUAAUGUCGCACAACUCUAGUGUUUAUUCUCAUCCGUUUAUUGUAUGGAAUUGGAGAAUCUUAAGGUUGCACAAGUUUAGGGUUUAUUCUCAUCUGUCUUUUGUGUGAAAUUGAAGCAUCUGUGUAUUUCUUGUUUUCUUAAAUAGAAAUUAAAAUUUUUUUCAACAUUGAAGGAAUUGAAUGAAUUGAAGCUUCGUAUACUUUUCAUCCCUUUGGUCUUGAAGGAAUUGAAGCAUAACAACAUUUCAUCCAGGGAACUGAAGAGAAAUUUCUUAUUUUCUUAUUUCUUGAAAGUGAAGAGAUGAUACUCUUCAUUAUUCUUUCUCUGCUUUUAUAUGGAUCUUCACAGAUUGUCAUGUUGUCAUAUUGAACUCCAUCUUCCAAAGAUUAUGGAUUUUUGCAACAAAUCAAUGGAAUAUUAGUGGUGAGUUAUGCAGUGGAGCAACCAUUGAUUCAACUUCCAUCUUGGAUUUUAAACUCGCCAUCAAAUGUAACUGUUCUGCUAACAACCGAACUCUUUGUCAUAUCACUGGCUUGUAAGUCACUUUUUUCCCCUACACAAUGUUCGAUAUCUGUUAAAUAUAGGCAAAAAAUAGUUUUGAUCUCGUGUAGUAUUUACAAUGUAUUUGUCUGAUAAAAUGGAUUCAAAUGAAGCCCUUCCAUUUCCUAGCUCAACUUCUGUUCAAUCGCACUCCUAUUCUUACCCUAUGCAUUUUGUCAUCCCUUAGUUUUUUUUUACUGCGUUGUUCACUUUAAUGAUAUUUGUCUUAAGAGAUAAAUUAAAACUUUAGAGGUCAUAGAUGCUCUUCUAAUAUAUACUAUAUAACUGGAUAGAGAUUUGUUAAGUGCUUCUUAGAUUUUCUUUAUACAUUUAUGUAGUCCUUGAUGCACAAACACUUAAUUACUAAUUACUAGUAUUGACCAUGUCAGAUUUGUUUUCUUGAUAUUACUUCUUCUUCUUAUUGUUCUAUGCAGUUGGAUAUAGUUUGGGGUAUUUACUUAAUGUGUAACUUUGAUUUCUCUUUCCAACCAUUCUUUAUGGAGAUUUUAUGCCAUGGACGUUGGGGGUGGAAUUCCUGAUGAAUUAUGGGGUCUUACCUUCCUCGAUGAUCUGUACUUGCUUUCUCUAACUAUAGUUUCAUCCUAUACUUUUGUGUUUUAUCUCUCAGCUACUGAUAUUUUAGUUAUAAAUUGCAGAAAUUUAGCCCAAAGUUCUUGACAGACAUACUGUCCCCAUCCAUUAGUAAUCUGACUAGGAUGAAAUGGCUGUAAGUCUAAUCUAUUUCAGUUAUUUAUGCACAAUCGUGAUAGCUUGGUAUCAAAAUGUCUGGAAUAAUUUAGAUAUUUGGUGUAUAAAGAUUCUUUGGGACCAAUGAUUUAUCAGAGGAGAUUCCACAGGAACUUGGAUUGUUGACUGAGUUACAAUCAUUGUAUGUUCUUAUAAUUAUGUCUGUUGGACCUUUGGUUUCAUGAGAUAUCAUGUAUCAAUUUUAUAUGAAAAGCAUCAAUCUUUGUCGUUUCCUCUUCAUUUGUUUGUCAUUUUCCCGUGUUACAGAAGUUUUGGCACAAACAACUUCUCUAGGCCUCUGUCUCCAGAGCUUGGAGACUUAACAAAACUGACACAAAUGUGAGUUAUGAUGCAUUGAUUUACAUCUUACAAAACCACUACCACAUCAUUUUAAUUGUUUGAUUUUUACAGUUUGCAUGAGAAAUUUGUUAUCUGUUUAUGAACAUGAUACAAAAUCUAUAUGGUGCUAUGUUUUUUUAAUUUAUACAUCAAAUGCAAGGCCCUAAAAAUUAUAUUAGUAGAGUAGGAGGUUGUUAAUGUCUCCACGAUCUAAUGCAAUCUAUGUUAUGCUUGGUUUAUUUUCAUGCUAGCAAAGGAGUAUAGUUAAUUAAUCCCUUCUCUAGUUUUCUGUAUAAAGUAAUCAUUCCUUAUUUGAAAAGUAUGAUAAACUAGGUUAGGUUUUAAAUAUUUGUCACAUGAAUUUCACAAACAAUGCAAAAUACAACAAGGUCAAGACAUAUAACUCUCAUUUUACGCACAUUAGUAUCUAUCUUCCUUGUCCCCUUUUCAUUUCGUUUCUCCUUCCAUUCUACAUACUUGAAGCUUUAAAAUUCUAAUUUGAACUUGUAACAUACAGAAAUAGAAAGUAAAGAAAAAUAGUACUCUAUCUGUUUUAUUUAUGUUGGCCCUUAUACCAAAAAUAGAGUUUUAUUACUUACUUCCCGUGCUAUUUAUAGUAUUAAAUAACUACAUAACUUUAGAAUUACCAAGCAUCAUUAAUAAGGUUAUUUUAGUAAAAUACACCUCUAAUUUCCUACAGAUUAUGUGAAAGGAAGGCACUUUCCAGGGAGGUGGCUUAUGAUGUUGAAAGCCUGGCUCAUUAAAAAGUAUUCCAGGUCAAUAGGGGCAAGUAAAAACAAUGAUAUACAUAAUAUAUUCCCACAAAGUAGGGUCUGGGAGGGUAGAGUGUACACAUUCCUUACCUCUACCCUAUAUGUAAGGUAGAGAGGUUGUUUCUGGUAGACCCUCGUCUCAAGACAAAAACAGUCUAGAAAAAGACUUAAUUGAAGUAGAAGAGAUAAUAGGUAGUUUAAAAAACACCAGAUAGUAGUAGAGUAAUACUACAAUUGAACUGCACGAAACAACAUAUAGCAUAACUUGAAAUAUUUAGCACACAUCUAGACAAGUAGAUGCCAAACAAUACAACAUAUACAAAUACAUGAGAAUUUCCAACAAAUAUAGGAAAUAUAAGUUAUUUUUGAGGUUGAUAAGUUAAUUUUUCUCUUGGAUAGGCCUUUCUUUGAUUGUUGAAAUUUCAUAUGUUCAUAUGGUUUUUGCAAAGUAUGAAACUUUUUUCUUAUAACGUAAUAUGUCACUUCUUUAUUGCUUAUAUUUCUUUAUUUUUAAUUAUUCUGUCAUUUUUUUUCAUCUUUUUUUAAAUAAAAAACUAUUUUGUUGCGUAGUUAUGUCACUAGUGUUGGUGUUAGUGCUCCAAUACCAUUGACGUUUGCAAAAUUGCGGAACAUGGAUAUGGUGUAAGAGCUUUCUGUCACAUGCUCCUUCUCUUGCUUCUUAAUUUUUACUUGGACAAAUUUAUGUUGUAAAUCUCACUGGAAACUUAACUAUCCGUGCUUUCAGGUGGGCUUCAGAUAAUGAUUUUAUAGAGAGGAUUCUAGAUUUCAUUCAUAGUUGGUCAAGUGUUACUGCACUGUGAGACAACAGCUAUUUGAACUAUGUCCAGUUUAUUAUUCUCUAAUUCCUUCAAGAAAUAUUGUCUUACUUUUUUCCUACAACAUUGGUAUAAUGCCUUUACUGUAUCUAUUCUCUAGUGUAGUCUGUCUCAGAUUUAUCUAUUGUCAUAGGAGGUUCGAAGAAAAUGCAUUUUUCUAUUAUCUCUAAUUGUCUUACUAAGGUAAGCUCCGAUUAACCCACAAGCAGAUGCCAAACAAUACAACAUAUAUAAAUACAUGAGAGAAUCUAUCAAAUAUAGAAAAAUAGAAGUUAUUUUUGAGGUAACAACUGCCAGCUUUAGGAAGAAACAUAUUCACCAGAAAUAUACUCUCUCCGACCCAAUUCAUGUGACAUUGGUUUAAGAAAGAAAAACUUUUGAAACUUUUGAUCUAAACAAGUCAUAAAUGUUUGUAUUACUAUAUAUCACAUUUCAUUAGGGGUAAAGUGGAAAGUGCAAGAGUAAAUUGUUUCUGAAUGUGGAAAAAGUGUCAUUCAUGUUGGACAAACCAAAAAGGAAAGUAUGUCACAUAAAUGGGGCUAGAGGGAGUAUAUGUCAAUUAGCAUUUCCUACUACUUUCUUUGUUACUAUUUCAAAAUUAUUCAUGAAGACUUUAUUAGUUUCAAGCCUAUUUCAGUUGGAUACUCUCUUGCUUUCCUAGACUUAGAAAUUGUAUUUGUCUUCUUACUUCUUUUUCUUUGUGUGGCAAGUGGUCCGUUCCCUUGCACCAAUGCUGGAUGCGACAUUAAGACCUAAUUUCCUCACUCUCCUUCCAUGCAUUUUUAGAUCUGUUCAUCAUUUGCAUAUUGUUGUGAGAUUAGCUGCAUAUAAAUGUAUUACAGCUAUGGCCAUUUCAAUGACAUUGGAUGUGAUGGGUUCGGUUAUUGAUAAUGUGGUGCCUAUGUUAGGUGACAUUAUAUCUAUUCAUUCUAAACAAGGAGCUGGCAUUCUUUUCAGCUUUCUUGUCCAAGGACUUGGUAUCGAGCUGGUUCCAUAUGCUCCCCUCUUAGUAGUUCCCCUUCUGAGGUGUAUGAGUGAUUCAGAUUAUUCUGUCAGAUAGAGUCUGACAUAUAGUUUUGAAAUCUUCAUGCCUCUACUUCCAUUAGCAUAUGGUGUUUCUCCUCCUGUUGGUCUUAGUGAGCACCUAUCAAGAUGUCAAGAAGAUGUUAAAUUUUUGGAGCAGCUAAUUGACAACUCACGUAUUGAUGAUUACAAACUCUCAACUAAACUAAAGGUGACAUUAAGAAGCUGAGACCUGAAUUACCAUCGGGAUAGAGCUAAUUGGAUAUUGUGUUGCGAGCUUACCAGGACACUUAAUACAUGCACUUCUAAGUGAGCAGCUGCUACAUUUUUAGUCCAGAACAUAAAGUCCGCACUUUGACAUGUAAUGAAGAAAUAACAGUACAAAAACAUAUGAAGAAAAUUUAAGAGAUAACUCUCAAAUAUCUGUGUACUACAAUUACUUUGUGAUAAUUCAUUAAUCAACUAUUUAGCAACUAUUCUACCGUAUUAA